AGCUUGCUUCUCUUGAGAGCGGCGGACGGGUGAGUAAUGCCUAGGAAUCUGCCUGGUAGUGGGGGAUAACGUUCGGAAACGGACGCUAAUACCGCAUACGUCCUACGGGAGAAAGCAGGGGACCUUCGGGCCUUGCGCUAUCAGAUGAGCCUAGGUCGGAUUAGCUAGUUGGUGAGGUAAUGGCUCACCAAGGCGACGAUCCGUAACUGGUCUGAGAGGAUGAUCAGUCACACUGGAACUGAGACACGGUCCAGACUCCUACGGGAGGCAGCAGUGGGGAAUAUUGGACAAUGGGCGAAAGCCUGAUCCAGCCAUGCCGCGUGUGUGAAGAAGGUCUUCGGAUUGUAAAGCACUUUAAGUUGGGAGGAAGGGCAGUUACCUAAUACGUGAUUGUUUUGACGUUACCGACAGAAUAAGCACCGGCUAACUCUGUGCCAGCAGCCGCGGUAAUACAGAGGGUGCAAGCGUUAAUCGGAAUUACUGGGCGUAAAGCGCGCGUAGGUGGUUUGUUAAGUUGGAUGUGAAAUCCCCGGGCUCAACCUGGGAACUGCAUUCAAAACUGACUGACUAGAGUAUGGUAGAGGGUGGUGGAAUUUCCUGUGUAGCGGUGAAAUGCGUAGAUAUAGGAAGGAACACCAGUGGCGAAGGCG
Molecule: ribosomal RNA, 650 nt
Filed under: Pseudomonas sp. AE2B 133
Lineage: Bacteria; Pseudomonadati; Pseudomonadota; Gammaproteobacteria; Pseudomonadales; Pseudomonadaceae
Description: bacterial SSU rRNA
Rfam family: Bacterial small subunit ribosomal RNA
Source: RNAcentral